Long non-coding RNA from Ailuropoda melanoleuca (giant panda), 1629 nucleotides. The record is from Ensembl. Lineage: Eukaryota; Metazoa; Chordata; Mammalia; Carnivora; Ursidae.
CUUUUAAAGAUUUUAUUUAUUUGAGAGCGAGGGGGGAGCAUGAGCAGGGGGAGGGGCAGAGGGAGAGGGACAAGCAGGGGAGCCUGACACGGGGCUCGAUCUCAGGACCCCCCAGAUCAUGACCUGAGCCGAAGUCAGACUCUUAACCGACUGAGUUACCCAGGCACCCCAAGAAGUUUCUUUAGGAAUCAGUGCAUCUACGUCAUUUUGCCUGGUAGCCAGAGGCUGCUGGAGAAUGUGGAGCCCCUCAUCUCCUCUGGGAGCAGCCCUCUGCUGACGGUGGGUGUUGGUGAAUAAAUGCCCCGGCUCCCUGCCCUGCAGUUGGGACGAUUCUGAGUUAUGGGCUCUACAUGGACUGAGCAGAGUUUGCCACGGGAUUAGGCUCUGCUUGCCCACAGUGCCAACUUGCCUGUUAACACCAUUGAUUUCCACCUUCUCCAUUCUCCUGCUACUGCUUCCAGGAAUCAGCUCCCAAAACAAGCACAGUUGACCCUUGAACAACAUGGGGGGAUUAGGGGCAGUGGGAAAAUCCACAUAUAACUUUUGACUCCCCCAAAACUUAACUGCCAAUAGCCUACUGUUGACCAGAAGCCUUCCCGAGAACAUAAACAGUCAAUGAACACCUAUUUUGUAUGUGCUACGCAUUCUGUACUGUGUUUUUGCCAUAUCCACUGGAGAGAAGAAAACGUGGUUCAGAAAAUCAUAAGGAAAAUACAUUUCCAGUACCGUAGUGUAUUUGUUGGAAAAGAAUUCUCACGUAAGUGGACCUGUGCAUUUCCAACCCAUGUUGUUUGAGGGUUGACUGUACUUGUAUUUGUAUCUUGUCUUGGGAUCUGCUUCUGGGGGAACCCGAACCAGAUGUGAGGACAUGGCAUGUUGCAGUUGGGCCGGAGGUUCCUCAUCUGAUUUUCCUGCCAUUAAAUCUGGAGAAAGCAGAAUGAGCACUCAAACCUGCGCAAGCAAUUCUUUCUCCUCGACUUCUGCUCACCAUCUCCCUGCCCCCCGCCACCCCCACUUUACUUCUCUGCUGGACCAUUUUUUAGCGACUGUGGCUGCCAGACUUGGGAGAUGGAUGGGCUUGGGGAGCUGAAGGGUGCCUCGGAGGAGGACCAGGACCAGGCAGAGCCCCAGGACAGUAGGGAUUCCACAGCUGGGUGGUUCUAAGCCACCAGGUGCAUGAAAGGCCACGGGAUGCUGGUCCUACUGCUGCAUGGUGAGUUCCAAGGCCCGUUCCUUCUGACCCCCAGCAGACAGCUGCCAGUGGGUGCAGGGGUUGGGCAGCCCAUAGAAGAUUCUAGAAGAUGCAUGGAAACUGCAGGGCUUCUACCCAAGGAGCUUGGUCUUCAAGUGGCUUUUAUGAAAGCUGUACAUGGACACCAGUUUUGAUUAGGUUUCACUGAACUGUAAUUAUGGGGGAGGGAAUGAAGGAUGAGAGAAAACAGAACAGGUGGUGGGUUUGGCUUGUUUGCUUGUUUGUUGAAAAAGAGAAUUCCUGAGCCAAAUAUAUGAAAUAACCCUUUGGCGAUUUUCUUAUUCUAAUUUCAGAUAGGAAUUCAUUUUCUUAUUCUAAUUUCAGAUAUGAAUUCAUUGGUGUAAUCACCAAAAACUACAGUGGUCAUAUUACUUUAA